CCUACGGGUGGCUGCAGUCGAGAAUCAUUCGCAAUGGGCGAAAGCCUGACGAUGCGACGCCGUGUGAGCGAAGAAGGCCUUAGGGUCGUAAAGCUCUUUCGCCUGGGAACAAGAUGAGCUGGCUAAUAUCCAGUGAUUUUGAGCGUACCAGGUAAAGAAGCACCGGCUAACUCCGUGCCAGCAGCUGCGGUAAUACGGAGGGUGCAAGCAUUAAUCGGAUUUAUUGGGCGUAAAGGGCGCGUAGGCGGGGAUGUAAGUCAGACGUGAAAUCCCGG
This 275-nucleotide ribosomal RNA is filed under the name uncultured Parachlamydia sp. RNAcentral describes it as "partial 16S ribosomal RNA". It matches the Rfam family "Bacterial small subunit ribosomal RNA", at positions 338 to 605 of the family's 1533-position model. Lineage: Bacteria; Pseudomonadati; Chlamydiota; Chlamydiia; Parachlamydiales; Parachlamydiaceae. The record is from RNAcentral.